GACGAACGCUGGCGGCGUGCUUAACACAUGCAAGUCGAACGGAAAGGCCCUGCUUUUGUGGGGUGCUCGAGUGGCGAACGGGUGAGUAACACGUGAGUAACCUGCCCUUGACUUUGGGAUAACUUCAGGAAACUGGGGCUAAUACCGGAUAGGAGCUCCUGCUGCAUGGUGGGGGUUGGAAAGUUUCGGCGGUUGGGGAUGGACUCGCGGCUUAUCAGCUUGUUGGUGGGGUAGUGGCAUACCAAGGCUUUGACGGGUAGCCGGCCUGAGAGGGUGACCGGCGACAUUGGGACUGCGAUACGGCGCAGACUGCUACGGGAGGCAGCAGUGGGGAAUAUUGCAGAAUGGGCGGGAGCCUGAUGCAGCAACGCCGCGUGCGGGAUGACGGCCUUCGGGUUGUAAACCGCUUUCGCCUGUGGCGAAGCGUGAGUGACGGUAAUGGGUAAGGAAGCACCGGCUAACUACGUG
This 468-nucleotide ribosomal RNA is filed under the name uncultured bacterium. Its description in RNAcentral is "partial 16S ribosomal RNA". It matches the Rfam family "Bacterial small subunit ribosomal RNA", at positions 28 to 507 of the family's 1533-position model. The record is from RNAcentral.